ACGCUCGACACCUACGGGAUGCAGCAGUCGGGAAUAUUGCGCAAUGGAGGAAACUCUGACGCAGUGACGCCGCGUGCAGGAAGAAGGUUUUCGGAUUGUAAACUGCUUUAGACAGGGAAGAACAAAUGACAGUACCUGUAGAAUAAGCUCCGGCUAACUACGUGCCAGCAGCCGCGGUAAUCUGAGCGGGCUGGCGAAGGC
This 201-nucleotide ribosomal RNA is filed under the name uncultured bacterium. Its description in RNAcentral is "partial 16S ribosomal RNA". It matches the Rfam family "Bacterial small subunit ribosomal RNA", at positions 326 to 540 of the family's 1533-position model. The record is from RNAcentral.